GAUGGCAGAGAGGUCACACCCGUUCCCAUACCGAACACGGAAGUUAAGCUCUCUAGCGCCGAUGGUAGUUGGGACCUUGUCCCUGUGAGAGUAGGACGUCGC
RNAcentral lists this ribosomal RNA (102 nucleotides) under Bacillus cereus. Lineage: Bacteria; Bacillati; Bacillota; Bacilli; Caryophanales; Bacillaceae. The record is from RNAcentral. RNAcentral also lists the same sequence under 2 other names.